This is a long non-coding RNA of Nerophis ophidion (straightnose pipefish), 2969 nucleotides long. RefSeq lists it as uncharacterized. NCBI's taxonomy places the organism in Eukaryota, Metazoa, Chordata, Actinopteri, Syngnathiformes, Syngnathidae. The record is from RefSeq and is a predicted model, not a curated record. The transcript has 3 exons.
CACUUUAUAAGAGCCGUGCGUCCUGGACACUUGUUUGGCACAAGACCUCCCCGAGCAGGAAGGUGUAAGACAAUAAAAUAGCCAGUGACCCGGUGCUGCUCACAGCAUGAGAUUAAAAGAAGACGCUCUUUAAUAAAAGGAAUAUUUACAACACAGGUACAUGGGCCACACGUGGCCCUCAAACAGGCCGGGCGGGUCGGGGACGGUGUAGGUCCUCGUACUGCGAAGACAGGGUCCAACAGAUCAAAGGACUGGGCAAACCUGACGAGGAUAACGGCGGCGCGAGAUGACUACCUUCUCCUCCUCUUGCACUCCUCAUAAGGAAGCGAGAUGUAGAAGCAUUUGUCGUAAGCGUCGAUGAGGGGCCUGCGGGGAGAGUCAAGAACCACUUACUACUUCUGGAAGGUCAAGGCCUGAAGGAGACAUUUUGAGGGUCGACCCACUUGUAGUUGUAGAUGAGGAAGCCCUCCACAAUGAGGAUGUGGAUCCUCUCCUCCUUCGACGAGUCACAUUCCUCGGCUCCGGGUGACAGGCAAACUCCGUGGGAGCGGGCAAACUUGACCGGGUUCUCCUGCCAGCCUCUCACCGUGCUGACCAUGGCCUCCAUGUCCAGGGCAGUGAUGACUGGUAGGAAGUAAAGAAAAACGGGUUUGAGCGCACGUCAGCCAGUCAGUCAACAGGUGGGCUACUCCUUAAGUUUAGCAUUGCUUGGUUAUCAAAGAAUGUGCUGGAUAGGAAAAGUGCAAUUUGUUUUUCCUACGCCAAAUCCGUUCUUACCAUCCCACUGUCUAAAGCCGUCCUCCCCGACUUCUAUUUGAUCGGGCUUCUGAAAUAACAGUCACCAGUAAAACAUUGUUGCAAUCUAGUAACCAGUCGCAGCUGAUCACACCUGGACAGGGCAAGUCAACGACCCGUCUCCGACCCGAGAAGCCCGCGCUUUUUUUCACGGUUUAAACGUGCGGACGUAGCCUUUAAGGGAGAGAAGGUCAAUUCUAUUUCGAAUCAGACAGAAAACACAAGCAGAACGCUCUCUGCCGUUUCUAAGAAUCUACGGUAAAAAGUCCAAGAUCUUCUUUGCGACAGGAGUGAUUUGCUGAUUUUACAAACUUAUGCUGUUCAAACAAGAGCUUUGCCAUUUUUUUGGAGGACCUACAGCUAAUACAUAGUCAAAGGUCCUUUAAGUCAGUAGUCCCCGACCUUUUUUGCACCACGGCGAAUAAUUUUCAGGGACCGGCUUUCCACUUGUGCCAGAUAAAUACAGCAAAAAUGAGCACAUUAAAAAUACAACUCAUGUGAACGUUGAAUUAGUGGGAGCCCUAGGGUUGUGUUUUUGCAAUUGAGAUCUGUCAGAAUAAUUGUAUCUAAGUUAUCACUGUCUUCGUUUGAUCUUACCAAUCAAAAGGGUGGUAAAACUCCACUGUGUAGGACGGGGAGCGACAUGAGGGUGUCGGUUUCUUUGAUGUAUUGUAAUCCACAGAAAGAUUUUGUCUCGACCUGAGAUAUACAAAGCGGAGAGGAGGCAGGGCCUGACCCCUCUAUCAACUGUUUUGUGACGAGAGCAACGGCUGUUUACGACCUUUUCUUUGAAGCGACAUUUUCUUUGAACUGUUUUGUAAACUUGGAGAAGGCAUUCGACCGUGUCCCUCGGGAAGUCCUGUGGGGAGUGCUCAGAGAGUAUGGGGUAUCGGACUGUCUUAUUGUGGCGGUCCACUCCCUGUAUGAUCAGUGUCAGAGCUUGGUCCGCAUUGCCGGCAGUAAGUCGAACACAUUUCCAGUGAGGGUUGGACUCCGCCAAGGCUGUCCUUUGUCACCCAUUCUGUUCAUAACUUUUAUGGACAGAAUUUCUAGGCGCACUCAAGGCGUUGAGGGGUUCCAGUUUGGUGGCUGCAGGAUUAGGUCUCUGCUUUUUGCAGAUGAUGUGGUCCUGAUGGCUUCAUCUGACCGGGAUCUUCAGCUCUCGCUGGAUCGGUUUGCAGCCGAGUGUGAAGCGACUGGGAUGAGAAUCAGCACCUCCAAGUCCGAGUCCAUGGUUCUCGCCUGGAAAAGGGUGGAAUGCCAUCUCCGUGUUGGGGAGGAGACCCUGCCCCAAGUGGAGGAGUUCAAGUACCUAGGAGUCUUGUUCACGAGUGAGGGAAGAGUGGAUCGUGAGAUCGACAGGCGGAUCGGUGCGGCGUCUUCAGUAAUGCGGACGUUGUACCGAUCCGUUGUGGUGAAGAAGGAGCUGAGCCGAAAGGCAAAGCUCUCAAUUUACCGGUCAAUCUAUGUUCCCAUCCUCACCUAUGGUCAUGAGCUUUGAGUCAUGACCGAAAGGAUAAGAUCACGGGUACAAGCGGCCGAAAUGAGUUUCCUCCGCCGGGUGGCUGGGCUCUCCCUUAGCGAUAGGGUGAGAAGUUCUGCCACCCGGGAGGAACUCAAAGUAAAACCGCUGCUACUUCACAUCGAGAGGAGCCAGAUGAGGUGGUUCGGGCAUCUGGUCAGGAUGCCACCCGAACGCCUCCCUAGGGAGGUGUUUAGGGCACGUCCAACCGGUAGGAGGCCACGGGGAAGACCCAGGACACGUUGGGAAGACUAUGUCUCCCGGCUGGCCUGGGAACGCCUCGGGAACCCCCGGGAAGAGCUAGACGAAGUGGCUGGGGAGAGGGAAGUCUGGGUUUCCCUGCUUAGGCUGUUGCCCCCGCGACCCGACCUCGGAUAAGCGGAAGAUGAUGGCUGGAUGGAUGGAUGUUUUGUAAACAAAGGCAGUGGCUGUUUACGACCCCCUUCCUUGAGUAACAGCUGUUGCCAUGUAAUCAGGGAAAGUCCGAAUAAAAGAGGAGGCGUACAAUCUUUCGCCAGAGCGUGGUGGGACAUUGUACAAGAGUACAGCCCAGACGUUUCUCCUCAAUUGAGCCAAAUUGAAUUCUGUCUCUGUUUAAUUCCUUGCUUCUUUGUCUGUUUAAUGGAUGUCAUCAGUGUUUGAACCUGACAAC